GAACGCGAAGAACCUUACCUGGGCUUGACAUACACUGGAUCGGGCUAGAGAUAGUCUUUCCCUUUGUGGCUGGUGUACAGGUGGUGCAUGGUUGUCGUCAGCUCGUGUCGUGAGAUGUUGGGNNCAGUCCCGCAACGAGCGCAACCCUUGUCUUAUGUUGCCAGCAUUUGGUUGGGGACUCAUGAGAGACUGCCGGGGUGAACUCGGAGGAAGGUGGGGAUGACGUCAAAUCAUCAUGCCCCUUAUGUCCAGGGCUUCACACAUGCUACAAUGGUCGGUACAACGCGUGGCGAUCCUGUGAGGGUGUGCUAAUCGCUGAAAGCCGGUCGUAGUUCGGAUUGGGGUCUGCAACUCGACCCCAUGAAGUCGGAGUCGCUAGUAAUCGCAGAUCAGCAACGCUGCGGUGAAUACGUUCCCGGGUCUUGUACACACC
This 433-nucleotide ribosomal RNA is filed under the name uncultured bacterium. RNAcentral describes it as "bacterial SSU rRNA". It matches the Rfam family "Bacterial small subunit ribosomal RNA", at positions 957 to 1391 of the family's 1533-position model. The record is from RNAcentral.